GACGAACGCUGGCGGCGUGCUUAACACAUGCAAGUCGAACGGAGUGGCGAACGGGUGAGUAACGCGUAAUCACCCUGCCCUUCAGAGGGGGACAACAGUUGGAAAAGACUGCUACUACCGCAUCCUGCAGGAGGGGCGUGCGUCUGAUUAGCGAGUUGGCGGGGUAACGGCCCACCAAGGCGAUGCUCAGUAGCCGGUCUGAGAGGAUGAACGGCCAAAUUGGGACUGAGACACGGCCCAGACUCCUACGGGAUGCAGCAGUGGGGAAUCUGCCGCCAUGGACGAAAGUCUGACGGAGCAACGCCGCGUGAGUGAUGACGGCCGUCGGGUGGUAAAGCUCUGUUAAUCGGGACGCGGUACCGGAAUAGAAAGCCACGGCUAACUACGUGCCAGCAGCCGCGGUAAUUC
RNAcentral lists this ribosomal RNA (408 nucleotides) under uncultured bacterium. Its description in RNAcentral is "partial 16S ribosomal RNA". It matches the Rfam family "Bacterial small subunit ribosomal RNA", at positions 28 to 526 of the family's 1533-position model. The record is from RNAcentral.